GACGAACGCUGGCGGCGUGCUUAACACAUGCAAGUCGAACGGAAAGGCCCUGCUUUUGUGGGGUGCUCGAGUGGCGAACGGGUGAGUAACACGUGAGUAACCUGCCCUUGACUUUGGGAUAACUUCAGGAAACUGGGGCUAAUACCGGAUAGGAGCUCCUGCUGCAUGGUGGGGGUUGGAAAGUUUCGGCGGUUGGGGAUGGACUCGCGGCUUAUCAGCUUGUUGGUGGGGUAGUGGCUUACCAAGGCUUUGACGGGUAGCCGGCCUGAGAGGGUGACCGGCCACAUUGGGACUGCGAUACGGCCCAGCCUCCUACGGGAGGCAGCAGUGGGGAAUAUUGCCCAAUGGGCGGAAGCCUGAUGCAGCAACGCCGCGUGCGGGAUGGCGGCCUUCGGGUUGUAAACCGCUUUCGCCUGUGACGAAGCGUGAGUGACGGUAAUGGGUAAAGAAGCACCGGCUAACUACGUG
RNAcentral lists this ribosomal RNA (468 nucleotides) under uncultured bacterium. Its description in RNAcentral is "partial 16S ribosomal RNA". It matches the Rfam family "Bacterial small subunit ribosomal RNA", at positions 28 to 507 of the family's 1533-position model. The record is from RNAcentral.